GACGAACGCUGGCGGCGUGCUUUAGGCAUGCAAGUCGAACGCGAAAGCCCCUUCGGGGGUGAGUAGAGUGGCGAACGGGUGAGUAACACGUGGGUAACCUGCCCCUCGCAGGGGGAUAACCGGGGGAAACCCCGGCUAAUACCCCGUACGCUUGCUGGGGCGCAUGCUCCGGCAAGGAAAGGUAGCUUCGGCCAUCCGGCGAGGGAGGGGCCCGCGGCCCAUUAGCUAGUUGGUGGGGUAACGGCCCACCAAGGCGACGAUGGGUAGCUGGCCUGAGAGGGUGGUCAGCCACACUGGGACUGAGACACGGCCCAGACUCCUACGGGAGGCAGCAGCCAGGAAUCUUGCGCAAUGGGCGAAAGCCUGACGCAGCAACGCCGCGGGGGCGAUGAAGGCCUGCGGGUCGUAAAGCCCUGUUGUCGGGGACGAAGGGCGAAGGGUUAAUAGCCCCUAGCCCGACGGUACCCGACGAGGAAGCCCCGGCUAACUACGUG
Molecule: ribosomal RNA, 494 nt
Filed under: uncultured bacterium
Lineage: Bacteria
Description: partial 16S ribosomal RNA
Rfam family: Bacterial small subunit ribosomal RNA
Source: RNAcentral